This 254-nucleotide ribosomal RNA is filed under the name uncultured bacterium. RNAcentral's name for it is "partial 16S ribosomal RNA". It matches the Rfam family "Bacterial small subunit ribosomal RNA", at positions 524 to 777 of the family's 1533-position model. The record is from RNAcentral.
UACGAAGGGGGCUAGCGUUGUUCGGAAUUACUGGGCGUAAAGGGCGCGUAGGCGGCGUGUCAAGUCAGGCGUGAAAGCCCCGGGCUCAACCUGGGAACCGCGCUUGAGACUGGCAUGCUCGAGUUCGGGAGAGGAUGGUGGAAUUCCCAGUGUAGAGGUGAAAUUCGUAGAUAUUGGGAAGAACACCGAUGGCGAAGGCAGCCAUCUGGACCGACACUGACGCUGAGGCGCGAAAGCGUGGGGAGCAAACAGGG